GUGCCUUUUUGAGCUGAACUUGCACUCUUAGAAGCUGAUUUGGAAGGUAUUCUAACCUGAGCGAGAGUGCGAACGAGCCUUGGAUUGUCGUGAGCUAACUUGUGAGAGCUCUUGGAGACUUAUCUUGAGGAUUGGAGCCUUGUGGAGCUGAUCCUUGGGACUCCUUUGGACUGUUUGGAGCCUUUAGAGGCUAAACUUGAGGACACAUUUGAGUUGGUUUUAAGACGAGCAUUGGGAGCUUUUACCGGAAGUGAAGUGUCCAUCUGAGAAGCUGGAAUACCCGGAUCGCUUAGCUACGUGAACUCGACAAAAGGCGUCGUUUAUCGGUGGGUCGGACC
Molecule: long non-coding RNA, 338 nt
Organism: Ananas comosus (pineapple)
Lineage: Eukaryota; Viridiplantae; Streptophyta; Magnoliopsida; Poales; Bromeliaceae
Exons: 4
Source: RefSeq, a predicted model, not a curated record